Molecule: long non-coding RNA, 210 nt
Organism: Lepidothrix coronata (blue-crowned manakin)
Lineage: Eukaryota; Metazoa; Chordata; Aves; Passeriformes; Pipridae
Exons: 2
Source: RefSeq, a predicted model, not a curated record
UGAGGAAAGCGGGAGAUGGCGGCUCCGACCCCUGCGAAGGAGAAAAGCGGUGCAAGAGAACAGAAUUAGGCAUUAAACUACCCACCUUGGGGUCAAUAAGCCGCCUUGACAAACAGGAUAACCUCUGCGAGAAAUAUCUGGAAUUUUUAAUAAAACACCUCACAGGCUCUACUGGACAGUCCAGCAAAAUAAAGAUGUAACUUAAACUGC